AGAGAUGUAGCUCAAUGGUAGAACAUCUGCUUUGCAUGCAGAAGGUCCUAGAAGGUCCCCAGCAUCUCCA
RNAcentral lists this transfer RNA (70 nucleotides) under Sphaerodactylus townsendi. RNAcentral's name for it is "tRNA-Ala". It matches the Rfam family "tRNA". From Rfam's summary of the family: Transfer RNA (tRNA) molecules are approximately 80 nucleotides in length. Their secondary structure includes four short double-helical elements and three loops (D, anti-codon, and T loops). The record is from RNAcentral. Lineage: Eukaryota; Metazoa; Chordata; Lepidosauria; Squamata; Sphaerodactylidae.